Molecule: long non-coding RNA, 276 nt
Organism: Choloepus didactylus (southern two-toed sloth)
Lineage: Eukaryota; Metazoa; Chordata; Mammalia; Pilosa; Megalonychidae
Exons: 3
Source: RefSeq, a predicted model, not a curated record
CUCCAUCGUGGGCAGCAGAGCCGAGCCCAUGGUGAUGAUGAUGAUGAUGCCUUCGCUACGGUCCUCCCUGUGGCAGGCCCUUUACAUACCUUCCUUCCCGCAAUCCUCACAACACUGUGACUAGCGCCAGCUGUGUACCACAAACUGUUAGGCACUGAGGAUGGGAGGAAAAAAAAAGAAUAAAAACCCACCCCUGCCCACAAAAGGACCAGAGAUACCGAAAUUUUAAACAGAGAGAAGAGAAAAGCUCUACCAUUUACCUUGUCUACGCAGCCG